CCUACGGGAGGCAGCAGUGGGGAAUCUUGGACAAUGGGCGCAAGCCUGAUCCAGCCAUGCCGCGUGAGUGAUGAAGGCCCUAGGGUCGUAAAGCUCUUUCGCCUGUGAAGAUAAUGACGGUAGCAGGUAAAGAAACCCCGGCUAACUCCGUGCCAGCAGCCGCGGUAAUACGGAGGGGGUUAGCGUUGUUCGGAAUUACUGGGCGUAAAGCGCGCGUAGGCGGACUAUUAAGUCAGAGGUGAAAUCCCGGGGCUCAACCCCGGAACUGCCUUUGAUACUGGUAGUCUUGAGUUCGAGAGAGGUAAGUGGAAUUCCGAGUGUAGAGGUGAAAUUCGUAGAUAUUCGGAGGAACACCAGUGGCGAAGGCGGCUUACUGGCUCGAUACUGACGCUGAGGUGCGAAAGUGUGGGGAGCAAACAGGAUUAGAUACCCUGGUAGUCCACACCGUAAACGAUGAAUUCCAGUCGUCGGGUAGCAUGCUAUUCGGUGACACACCUAACGGAUUAAGCAUUCCGCCUGGGGGGUACGGUCGCAAGAUUAAAACUCAAAGGAAUUGACGG
Molecule: ribosomal RNA, 560 nt
Filed under: uncultured bacterium
Lineage: Bacteria
Description: bacterial SSU rRNA
Rfam family: Bacterial small subunit ribosomal RNA
Source: RNAcentral